This 762-nucleotide non-coding RNA is filed under the name Athyma orientalis. Lineage: Eukaryota; Metazoa; Arthropoda; Insecta; Lepidoptera; Nymphalidae. The record is from RNAcentral.
UAUUUUUUAUAAUUUAUUAUAAAUUUAUUUUACAUGUAAAUUUUAGUAUUAAAUUUUAAUUAUUUUAAAAAUAGUUAAUUUAAAAUAACAGUAAUUAAAAUUAAAAAUUUAAGAAAUUAAGAUUUAGUAAUAUUUAAAUUAAUAACUAAUUUUGUGCCAGCAGUUGCGGUUAAACAAAAGUUAAAUUAAAUUAUUUCAGUAUAUAAUAAAUAGUGAAAAUUUUAAAUUAAAUAUUAAAUUAUUAAGUGAAAUUUUAAUUUAAUUAAAAAUUAUUUUAAAAUUAUGAUUUAAUAAAUUUUAUUAUAAACUAGGAUUAGAUACCCUAUUAUUAAAAAUUUAAUUAUUAAUGCUAAAAUAGUAAAUAAAAUAUUAUUGAAACUUAAAUAAUAUGGCGGUAUUUUAGUUCAUUUAGAGGAAUCUGUUUAAUAAUUGAUAAUCCACGAAUAAAUUUACUUAAUUUAUAAUUUUGUAUAUCAUUGUUAAAAAAAUAUUUUUAAAUAAAAAUAAUAUUUUAAAAUUUAAAAUUAAAUUUAAUUCAGAUCAAGAUGCAGAUUAUAAUUAAGUUUAAAAUGGAUUACAUUAAAUUUAUUUAAACGAAAAAAAAAUUGUAAAAUAUGAUUGAAGGUGGAUUUAAAUGUAAUUUUAAUUAAUUUAUUAAAAUGAUUAAUAAUUAAAAUAUGUACAUAUUGCCCGUCACUUUCAUUUAAAAAUUGAAAUAAGUCGUAACAAAGUAGAAGUACUGGAAAGUGUUUCUAGAAUGAA